Molecule: long non-coding RNA, 9848 nt
Organism: Strigops habroptila (Kakapo)
Lineage: Eukaryota; Metazoa; Chordata; Aves; Psittaciformes; Psittacidae
Exons: 10
Source: RefSeq, a predicted model, not a curated record
GUAAGUUUUCCAGCAGUCAGAAUUGGUUUAGUCUAGGCUAUGACCUCUGUGUAUGAAUCCUGGCUUCACUUUCCUGGAUAUAUUUCCUGCUUCCCUGUCACAGCAUCCCUGGGGGAGGCUGCCCUGGCAGCUCUGUGUACCUGUGCUGCAGCAGAAGGCAUUCCCAUGGGAACAAGCAGUACAGGCCGGUGGAUAGCAGCACUGCACUUGCUGCAGGAGGGAGACAGGCAAGAGCUCUGAGCCGGAAGGUGAGUCUCAGCAGGGCAGGACAAACAGACAGCACUGGCAUACCCAGUGCCAGCUGCCUCAGCCCUCGGGGAGCAGGACACAUGAUGCUGCAAUUACUGCUUCUCACAGCCUUUACUUUGGUCUGCACGUUUCAUUUGAUGCAAACACUUUGCAAGCAAAGGCUGGAAAAUACAUGUAUUCAUUGUACAGAAAGGGACAUCCUUUCCUCAGUUCAUGUAUGGGCAUUUGCUGUGUGGAAAAAGGUUAAAUGGUAACAAGAAGGAUCAGGCAGGAGCCCAGCACUUGAUAAGUAUAUAUGAUCAUGUUAAGACUAAGUUCAUUAUCGUGGUGUGGCCAAGACUGCAACAACUGAGGUUGUUCAAUUUCUUUGUGAUUCGCCCCUGUGAAAUGUCUUGUGGCUCAGUGAAGGAAAAAGAGUUGUAUUAGAGAUAGGAGUUGCCCAUAUGGAAUUCUAACUGUUUUGUUCCAGUUGAAAAUCACAGACCAAAAGCAGGCCACGUCUCACCAAGGUUCAGCAGUGAGGUGCCCUGGAGAACAACACUGAAUAUAGCUGUCAGUGCAGCAAAGCCUUAAAAAGGCGUGAAACUGUGGAGACAGGUUUGCUUCUUCAUGUGACCUGUGGUUCAGAGCUGGCUUUGCUUCUGUUUUCCUGUAAGUAAUCAUUAGCCAUAAAACUGAAGAAACCAAGAUGUCAGUGAAAUGGUGUUGCCAAUUGGGAGGCAGUGGCUUUGCUUUCCUUUUGCAAACUUCUUCAAGUGCGGCUUCAUGUGGAAAAACCAUGAAGUUAAACUUAGGGCUGCAGCCUUGGCAGGGGGGUUGGACCAGAUGAUCUUCAGAGGUCCCUUCCAACCCUAAGGAUUCUGUGGUGCUGUUUGUAUUGCUGCUGCUUGCAGCAUGGCAAGAUGGGGUUUUUCAUGUUGCUUGCAAGGCAGAUAUCUUUUCUUCUUCCUUGUAAGCUAAGGAAAAACCUAAAGCUUCUUAAAAGAAAUUUUUUAAAGCAGUUCAGCUUUUUGAAACUGCAUAAUUGAAGAGCUCUGAAAUAAUUGGCUUAUUAUAGUGCACCCGUAAAAAUGAAUUUGCAUCUCAUUUAUGAACUAUUAGAUUCCUUAUUACAUGAGACUGAUUGUUCUUAAUGUGACUUGCAUGUAAUUUAGCAUUCUUUACUCAAACACUUUGUAGCUAAACACUGGGGGAGGGAAGUUCAUUCCAAAAUCAUGGCACUAGAACUUAGAUGACAGAGCACUCACACUCCUGCUCAGUGUGCUCUCAUUACGCUGUUUGUCUCUCUAUUCCCAUCUCAGUUCCACACUGGAGGCCACAAGUCCAAGAUCACUCAACUGAUUUUUUUCCUUGCCUCUUCCCCACUGUUUAGGCGUGCUCACACCCCAGUGAGAAGUGCUGAAGACAAACAGGAGCUGCGAGUACCCAGGACUGAGCUGUGUGGUGCUGUCAACUCGCUGGAGGGAAAGGUUGGGAUCCAGAGGGACCUGUAGAGGCUGGAGAAGUGGGACCAUGUGAACCGCAUGAAGUUCAGCAAGGCCAAGAGCAAGGUCCUGCCCCUGGGUCGGGGCAGUCCUAAGCACAAACACAGGCUGGGGGAGACUGGAGGAGCAGCCCUGAGGAGAAGGACUUGGUGGUGGUGUGUGAUGAGCAGCUCUCCAUGACCUGGGUGUGUGCGCUUGAGCCCAGAAAACCUCUUGGGUGGAGGCCUGUGGGUGUCUGCAGGCAAGUUAUGCCAGUGGUCAAAGCCCUUGUCCGGGGAUGUGUGUGAGGGUUGCUGAGCCAAUGCUUUCCAGCUGCUUGGCUGGGAAUUUGCAUGUAUCAACACGUUGGAAAUAGUCACCUGUAACGGUACAGAAAGCUGUUCCCUUGCAGCAGAAACAGUGCACUAACAGUGAGGAAUCAUGACCUCUCCCAUGUGCUUCCGUCAGCAUCUCCUAUGUGUGAGCAUUAGUUCAGGUGAUCACAAAGCCCAAUCUUGGUGUCUGUGACUCCACUUUGACUUGAAGGAGGGGCAAAGAUGACAAGAAUAAAAAUGCAGCAAAACGCAGGGUCACCUUGUGAGCGGAGGAGGAUGCUGGGAGGUGAUUAUAGAAAUCAUGUCACAGGGUUGACAGGCAGGUGACAAGCAGGCUCCUUGCAUGAAAUACUGCAGAAUUACUGAGCUGUCAUUUCACAAUAUUUUAUUUACUGUAGCUAGCAAAUGGCAAAAGAAAUGACAUCCCUCAGUGCUUUCCAAUGGGUACAGAAAAUGCUGUGGUCUUCCUAAGAGGCUGAUGUUAGUGCCUCUUUGGACACAGGCAGUUAACAUAUUGAUGCUAACUUCAGCAGCAGCAAGUCCUGGGGUCACAGGUUUGAAUAUUGGUGGUUCCAAAAAUAGGUGGAUGCUCCUGGAUGCUUUUUGUCAGAAAGUUUGUAGAGAAUUGAGGUGUUAAUUGGCCUUUUUGUUCAGCUGAUGGAGCAUGUGGUUAAAUCCAGUGCAUGUCCUGCUGUUGCUUUGGGGGUUGCAGGGAAGGAGGACGCUGGGUGAGGGAAGGGGAAGUAAUUCUGGGUUGAAAAACUGUGAAAGGGCCUUAUGGCUCCUUCAGACACAAUAAAGUACAUACAAUUCUGUUGACUUUGGAGGAGGAACUAACAAUGUUGACAGCGGUUACAUUAGAACAUCGCUGAAAUACUUUGUAUUUCAUUUGCCUUUCUUCUUGAUUGUAAAUCCUCUCUGAAUUUCCAUUCAGCAGUAUAGUAAAUACAGAGGUAACAUGGGAUACACCAACAGCCAAGGAAGCAUAAAUUAUCCCUUCAUUCCCCUAAUCCCUCCCUUACACUCCUUUAUAACGUUCAAGUUUGGGUUCAGAUAUGUGGAUAUUCUGCACAUUUAAGAGCCAUCGUUUUAUGUAGGGAAAUGAUUCACUUCACACAUUAGAGCAAAUCUGAAAUGUGUCAGGAGGGAUCCUGGGUGUUUCUGGGCUGUCACACGCUGUUUGAGGAGCAAUUACUCCUGGUCGGAUCAAACCUUGUGCUGGGGCUGAGGCUGGUGCAGCAGGGGCAGGGCUCUGCAUCCCAGGGGAGGAAGGAGAGCCCCUUACAGCUGUUAACAUCUCUCUUCCACUUCAUCCUUUCAGUGCACCCCAGACUUUGAUACUGUUUUGUUUAGGGGUGGUUUUACACCUCAGAACCUGUGAAGGGUUGUAAGAAGGAUUCAGAGUUCAGGGGUUAAGAACAAUUGAUCUGUUGGCUUUUCCAAGGCAGGCGUGCUGCUGCCGUGGCCUUUGCAGGAUAAAUGUCUUACUCUGACAAAUUCACGGUGCUAUGGAGAGGCCUGGGUGUGCUCAGAGCUGUACUUGGGGAGCAGGAGCUGCAGAGUGCUGGAGCAUGGCAGGGGAGAGCAGGCCUCUGUUUUCUGUCGGGGGAAGGUGGAAGCACAUUUUCAGAGCAGCCAGUCGUUUUGUAAAUGGCUGUUUCUAAUUCCCAGAUAAACAGGUUUUCAGUCCGUUUCCAUCUCAGAAGGUGGAUUCUAGGCACAAUUUAAAAGAUUCCUUUCAGCUUUCACUAUUUGGCAAUCAAAAGCACCAUCAUCCUGGAUCAAACAUUUUAAUUCUCUGCUUUGGCUUAAACUCAUAGUUGUGAGCAAAGAAUAGGUCUGUAUGGAGUCAAGGCUGUAAGAUCUAUUCUCUCUCUCCCUCUCCUCUUUUUUAAUAUGAGUAUUUUAUGAAGAAAGCUUCACUUCUCCCACCAGAGUUACAGGUUACGUGGCUGGAGUUUCUUUGUGGAGAACACCCAUUACAGUUGUGCCUCACCAUCCUGAGCUGCAAGUGCCUGGGGGUUUGCUGCUCUGCUUUGGACACAAGGACAUGGUGAGGCCUCUUCUCUCGCACAACACUCACUUGAAAUGGAGGGAAGGAAGAGGUGGAAAGAUGUUUGUCCUCCUGCAACAGAGUGCAGAGAAACUGUGGGGUUUUGUUGGUGUUGUGCAGGAAGUUCACAGCGCACCGGGAGCGGAAUCUCUUGGAGCAGCACUUGCUGCUUGUCUGCACACGCUGCUGUUUGUUUUCUAAAGCAUGUAUUUAAAGGACACACCAUGAUUACUAAUAAACUAAAUUAAAAGGGCAAAAGCUGGAGAGAGACAGUAGAGGGAAGUUCUUAUACCUGUCACCGUGUUCAUUACUCACAGUGUGUGUGUUUACUCUGUUCCACAGAUCACCAUGCAGACGUAAUGGUAAUUAUCUGGGCAGGAGGUGGGGUUUGCAUGCUACAGGAAAACACUGCCAUGGCUUGCGAAUUUGAUUUUAGUAUCUGUGCCAUGCUAUUGUUUGGCCUAGAAAUUAGAUUGCUUUUUACUAAUAUAAUUGGCUAAUUAAAACAUCUUCUGUAGGAGAUGGGGAAGAUACCCACAGUCCUUAUGUGACUUGGGACAUAAUAAAGUAAACAUGAGUCAGUUCCUAAUCCAACAAGAGCUCAUUUAGAGCACAAAGAAAGGAGUAUCCACAAUAUAAUUUUCUUAAUAGGUUUCCGAGAUGAUUUAGAGUCCAGUCCUCCACCUUUGGAGUGGAGACAGAAACACUGGAACACAGAAGACCCAGCCCUGCAGGACUACCUAUGGCGAUACCCAGCGGAAGUCUCUCCUCAGUCCCCUGCAGAUACUUUGGUCUACAGCAGUCCAGGGGAAUUACUCCAGCCUAAAAUGAUCUUAAAACCAAGAUAGUAUUAGAUGAAGAAACUUACUCUAAAGUAGUAGUUUCUGCCUCUGUAAGUACGCUGUAGAAAGACACAAGGUGCGGUAUUUUGAUCAGUUCUUUCUUCCACUGUCACACAUGAAGCAGACUCUAAGCAACAUCUCUCUCUCUGGCAUACGGCAUUGUAUGCGCUUUGUGGUGACUUCCUGACAAAAAAUGCAGAGUAAUUGCUGUGAUUGCUGUGCUCCCAGCUCUUAAAUGUGUACACCACCUCCAUUUCAGUCGUGUAUGAGCCGUGCUGCUGCCAUUUACACGUAUGACUCAUUUGCACAGGCUUAGCUUUUCUCCUGAUUUAGAUCCAGCUGCUCCAGCACAGAUUCAGUUACCUUUACAUUGCCAGGCUCUUGUGCUGCUCUUCUGCAGUAAAGCUCAUGGAACCGUGCACAGCCACCCCUGGCUGUUGUAUCAGGAUACCCCAAACCUCCCCGCACUUGAGGCUGCACACAGACCACACUGUGGGUGCUCACCUCUUCUGCCACUGAGGCAAGAUGGAGUCAUGGACUGCUUGGACUAGCAGAAGGAGCAUUUUCGUGGCUGGAGGGUUCAUGAUCAUGAAAAUAAUGAAUUUUCUCUUUUGUGCAGGAGGAUUCUGUACUUCACCUUUUUGCAGAGGCCAAAACUGACACCUGGAAAGAUAAAAGCUGUCAGCUCUCAGCUGGUGUUUCAUCCCAAGUGGAAAGACCUGUGCUGACUUCAGCUCCCAGAGAAUUUGUCCACAUCUGUGUUCUUUCAGAGAUGAAAUGAAUUCCCUUUCUGUACCAAGAACAGACUCUUAACUUAAACCCAAGCUGGGUCUGGAUGCUGUGAGCCAGGCUCAGUAUCUGGGUGGAAACGUGCCCGUUGAACAGCUUUGUUCAAAAGGAAGCUCAGGAAGAUUGGACAAAGUGGCGUUAAGAAGUUAAAUCACAAAUGAACGUUCAGAUGUCAUUUCUGCCUCUGUGGAUGUGGUUUUGCUGUGUGUGAGAAGCACCUCUUGCUGUUCCGUUGCUGCUCUCUAGAGUUGGCCAGUUAUGAAAUUACAAAGUGCAGAAGUCACCUGGUGGUGAGUUAUAACCAACACUAACUGCUGGCUAUGUGGUAAAGCAGUCAAGUGAUUCAUGAAGAACAUGUUACCAUCUUUAACUGGAGACUAGCAGUAAAUGGCUCCAUCUGCCUUGGAGACAGGGAUGGAAGAGCCUUAGCCUUACUCCCUGGUGAGAACACAGAGGAAGAGGCCAGCACAGUCAGACUAGAUAUCUGCACCAGCCAUGACUACCUUGGUGGAUCUAGAAGAAAGCUAGCUAUAUAUGGAAAAAUCAUUGUCACAAGCUUCCUUGCUGGUAAAGGAGCUCAGCAGAACAGGAGGAGGACAGGCAAUCAGAGGAAACACUGCAGGGAUAUGAAAUGAAAGAGAUGGUACAGCAAGUUAAGGAAGAUGUCUCCAGGGGAAGAACAGAAGAGAAAGUCUUCCUCGUGUCCCUGCUUUGCUGCAGAGCAGUUUUCCGUACUGCAGGCAUGUGAGCUCACUUCCAUACUGCCUUCUAGAGUGAGCCCCAGCUAGUCCUGGAGGAAAACAUAAACCUGCUUUUAAGGUUAGCAUGUUCCAAGACAAUAUGGAUAUAUUCAACACUAAUCUGGCUCUUCCACCCAGCAGAGCUCUUUGACAGUACACCACCAGGCAUUUGUCACAGCCAGCUCUUUCCAGAAGCUGUCUUCAUCAUUAAGGGAAACUUCAUUUACAAACUAUAAUGAAAGAAUAGCAUCCUGCAGCCGAAGCUGGAAAUAUUUGGCAAAUGACUCUACUUGAAAGCUUUCCAUGGGAUGUCAGUCAGCUCCAGUUAAAAGUCUGAUCAGAUGCCUGCUCUACGUGCAAAGCCAUCAAGUGACUGCAGCAAAUGCCUCUGGAACACAAAGCAGAAGUAGGCAGGCAGCAGCUGAACGGAGCCCCUGCUGCCAGGGGAAGCAGACAGUGGGGUUGGGGUUUCCCACCGAGUCCUCCAGCCCUUCACUGCUGGGGGGAGGGUUAUUAAACCCUUCUGCUUUGCUCUGAAGUGCUACAAAUAGAAUGGUAAAUCUAAAUAAUUAGGUGCAUGCUGUUCCCUUCACUAUGUGCUGCUGAUGACAAGCAGGGACCGGAAACCAAAAGGAAAAUAUAAGUAUAACUAGAGGCUAUUGUGCCCACUAUGGAGCUGACUCCUGCAGUUGGGAUAUAUACCUUGUACCUGUGUUGUACAUCCUGCAGUGGUGACUGCCUUCUGCUGUAAGUGAGGCUGUUUAUUCAAGCCAGGAUCCUCUUUGCACCAGUGACCCAGUGUUACAUGGCUCAGCACCCACUCUGGCAAGCUGCAGAAAAGGGAGGUUGUAUCCUGAGAUGGGAGCAAUGGUUCUCAAACUCUCCCUUGAAUUUCCUGCUCUUCUGCCUUCUGCUCCUGUAAGGAAGGUGGCAAGUAUGAUUGCAGCAGGAACACUUUCUCCAUAAUGGUCUCUGUGGGCUAUCAAGCCCGACCCACAAGGUCUCUUGGCCUCAAAGAGCCUAAUGGAAGGUCUUCUGAAGGGGGCUGCUUCUCAUGCCUGCCCCUGAAUAAAUCCUACCUUCUCUGUUUUGAGGUUCAAAAGCUCUGAGACGUGCCUGGGACCACCAGCUAGAUAACAAAUCUGAGAGAUGCCAGUUGAAAGCUGACAGCAAAGGGAGAGUGGACAGGGAUUACACCAAGGUUGAUGUUACUUGUCAUGUAUUGGCUUACACCUGAGACAACUGUUGCUUUGCUCAUCUACAGCAAACACUUAAACCCUUGAAGUUGGGUUUCUGGAAAUAGACACCUCAGAAAGAGGAUGAGUGUCUACAGAAACAUGCCGAGAGAUGGAAUCCAGCUGCCAUCUCCAGGACCGAUCAGUCAUGUACGAGGCCAUUUGAUGCCUCAUCCAAAUUUCUAUCUAACUGGUUGGACAAGCUCAAAUCCCCAUGUUGAAAGCAGCAUUUUUAAGAGCAGGUAUGACUGUUUAUAAGCAAGGGACAGGUCUGAGCCACUUGCCAGCUUUGUUAGCUUAGUGCAUUAGAAUUAAGGACUAGCGUCCUUUUUUCCCCAACAUAAGUAUUGAGCUAGAAAUUCAUGUCUACUUUCAGCAGUGAUCGAAGUCCUUCAUAUUCCACAUAGGAACAGAUGGACAAAAGUGUUUUCAUCUAUGAGCAGUUAAAGGCUAAGAAGGGGUCUUCAGCAACACACACGCAUUCACGCUCUCUCCCUCUCUUGAUCAGGAUUCUCAGCUGAGAGUUCAAAGGCCACUUUUCAAGGCUUUCUUUUUGUGUGUGUGUCUAAAGCACCACUUUGUGAGGUUUGGGAGUGGAAUCAUCUCCUAUUGCAUCUGAUAAAACUUCUCUGCUAGAAAGCUGAUUUCAGAUUUAGACUCAACUCCUGUCUGCAUUACCAAAAAUAUUCCUGACCAUUCCUCCAUGCUCCUUAAGCCUUUCCGUGAGAUUCAGUGAAUCUCGUCAGUUACUGGCAAUUGGGGAUCCUGUUAUCAGCAGUUCCCAGAGUCCCAUCCAAAGCCAGCGUGAUGACAGGACAUAAUCUCAGCGUGCUGAACCGUUGCUGAAAGGGAGACCUGACACCUUCAAAAGAGGCUUUAGUGACUUGCCAUUUCUCUGGGGUAGUUCUAGCUAUGACCUGCGUGCCUGGGUUGAGUACAUCUACUCUGGGGAAUGCUUCCUAGAAUGCCAGAUUUCGGAAUAAUUCGUGUUAUAUAUUUGGAUAACUGCUUCACAAGCUGUUUUGUCUUUGAGAAAUGAUAAUGAAAGGCAGAUGAUUUAAAAAGAGAAAAAAGAACACAUGUCUAAGUGAAGACUUUAGUGUUUUGGGGCCCUGGUUUGGAAGUGGAGCUGAUUGCCAAAGUUACUGGCUAACAUAAAUUCUCCUUCAAUUUCUUUGUAAUUUUGAAGCUAAUACAACUCUAGUGGAAGUUCCUAAUGUUAUUUUUCCUCUCUUAACCUAAUUAACAAACUGUAAAUUUAUGUAGUCCUAAAUGGAAUUACUUUCUCCUAAGCACUGCAGAGGGAGUUAUUUCUCAUGUCCCUAUUAAAGCAUGAAUAUCAAUGCUAAUGCUUCACAGCAGCUACCAUACCUGGAUUCUCUUCACAGGAACAGUACAUGGACAUUGCCCUGAGUGAGGCUGUGGUCUCUUAUGCCAACUGCUGACACUAACUGAGGACAGCAUCACACUGCCUUUGUUGUUGCUAUUUGAAAUGUUAAAUUGGAGCUGUUGGCAUAUUUACCUGCUGAACAUUCAGAAAAGCCUGGAUAUGGCUCAAAAAUCUGUUAUACUAUUAAAGAACUAAAACCAAACCCAACCUCAAACCCUUAGUUUUCAUUUCAUAAAAGGCUUCAAGAAGUCUUUUGAUUAAAUUAUUAAAAACCAAAAUAAAUUCUCAGAGAGGAAUCAUAUUUUUUUGCUGAACAUGAUUUUUUAAUGAGGAAUUUUUCAACAGAGUUGUAUUAAACCAGGAUUACUCCUUUACAAGAACCUGCCAUCACUUCUAGUGAUGUUCGAGGGUAUUACCAAUCCUGUGCUAAUAGCUUCACAUGCAGUUAGUUUCUCAAAAACAGAUUUAACACAUUUCCAAACAGAAAAUGUGUGUAUUAUUUUGUGGCUUAAAUCUGUUUUAUUGUGAUACCACUUCCAGAAUACUGAAGGUAUAAAAUGGUUUAUGGUCCAAAAGAUAAACUAGCACAAGCCACUAUACUCAAAAAUAGGGAAGGAUCUGAGAAAGUGCUAAAAGCAUUAUUACAGCUACAGAAUGGACUCUUAAAUCUUUUAUGCAACUUGAUCAGUUCCCACUGGAACACACUGUAUUGUUUUCAUAAAUAAAUACCCAAAGCUGCUGUGCACAGUGUU